UUAGACAAACAAACAGCCCCUAAGAUAACAUCCCUGUUCUAUUUUCAUUUGAGCGGGUUCCCAAAUUUUCCAAACCCCGCUUCUAAUAAAACGUUUCCCCCAAAUUUUCAAAAGGCUCGUCAACAAUGCUCUUCUUCAUCUCAAACCCCAAAUCCUUAAACCCUAGAACCUGAAUUCAAUGAUCUGAGAUAGUUCGGCGGCGACGGCAACGAUGAACUCCGCUCCGCCUUCUUCGAGAUCCGGCUCUUCUACGUCCGUAUCUCCCCGCGCUCGAUCGACACCGUUCCUUCAUCCCUAACCCUAACUCAUCUCUAACCCUAACUCAUCUCCGCCGUCCAAUUGGAGUCUGCCUCGAGAUCAACGGCUCAAAGACCCCCUUCUCCGAUUAAACCUCUAUCCUCCUCCGUCGCGAUCGGAUCGACUGCGAGACGUUGGAAGUGACCUACGUCAGCACCGACAACGUCAAGCUCACUGGCCCCGUCGAUUUCGAGGUGAUCGAUGAUCGAGGGAACCUAAUCCUUUGUGGAUUGCUGGAGAAGAUGGAGGCGGGGUGGAGCAACGGGAGUAUUGGAUCCAAUAAGGAUCCGAAAACAGGGUGGAGCAUGGACUGUUAUUUGGCGGGUCGAUUAUUAAUGGAUUGGGUUUAUUACAGCCGAAGUUGGGGAUUGUGAAUCCGUUGAUUGAGGAUAGGGUACCUGCAUUUUCACCUGAAAAAACAAGAACUUUCAUA
This is a long non-coding RNA of Asparagus officinalis (garden asparagus), 730 nucleotides long. RefSeq lists it as uncharacterized. Lineage: Eukaryota; Viridiplantae; Streptophyta; Magnoliopsida; Asparagales; Asparagaceae. The record is from RefSeq and is a predicted model, not a curated record. The transcript has 2 exons.